AUUAUCACCUUGGCUAAAGAUUCUAAGAGUUUUAAUUCAGCAACAGCUAAGGAGUUACAGCUUAUCGGCCUGCUUAUCCUUGUACCAGGGGCCCUUUGUUAAAGGAACUAUGACUCACGACGCAGACUGCGGGACUCUAUGGGAAAAUAUUGCCAAAACCCAUAUACCUUACCGAGUCUGUCUCUAAACUUAACAGAGCGUCCAAGUGAACAUGCUUUGAAUGGUAGCCAGUAAGAUUUAUAGGCUUGCUCCAAUCCUUUCCAUUAUACGCUACAGGUGAUAAAACGGAAAGUUACUAUUCUAUGGAAACCUAAAAUAGAACUUGUUAACUUUAAUGUUUAUAGCUGGAGAAGGGCUCUAAUUCCAUCUUCCAUCUCCUUAGAAUUGUUUCAUUCACACUGUUUGUUUUUCGUACUGAAAAGCGCUAUGAGACUUGUUGCUGCACGAGAACAUACCCUAUCAUUAUGAUAAUUGCUU
This is a non-coding RNA of Pelobates cultripes (western spadefoot toad), 477 nucleotides long. The record is from the annotation of a GenBank genome assembly. Lineage: Eukaryota; Metazoa; Chordata; Amphibia; Anura; Pelobatidae.